AGCGUAGGUGGCCUAACAUGUCAACUGUGAAAACCCGGAGCUCAACUCCGGGCUUGCAGUUGAAACUGGUAGGCUUGAGGACGGUAGAGGAAGACGGAACUGCCAGUGUAGGGGUAAAAUCCUUAGAUAUUGGCAGGAACGCCGGUGACGAAGGUGGUUUUCUGGGCCGGUUCUGACACUGAUGCUCGAAAGCCAGGGGAGCGAACG
RNAcentral lists this ribosomal RNA (207 nucleotides) under uncultured Mesotoga sp. Its description in RNAcentral is "partial 16S ribosomal RNA". It matches the Rfam family "Bacterial small subunit ribosomal RNA", at positions 568 to 774 of the family's 1533-position model. The record is from RNAcentral. Lineage: Bacteria; Thermotogati; Thermotogota; Thermotogae; Kosmotogales; Kosmotogaceae.